CAGUCGCCGCGGUAAUACGGAGGGUGCAAGCGUUAAUCGGAAUUACUGGGCGUAAAGCGCACGCAGGCGGUCUGACAAGUCAGAUGUGAAAUCCCCGGGCUUAACCUGGGAACUGCAUUUGAAACUGUCAGGCUGGAGUCUUGUAGAGGGGGGUGGAAUUCCAGGUGUAGCGGUGAAAUGCGUAGAGAUCUGGAGGAUUACCGGUGGCGAAGGCGGCCCCCUGGACAAAGACUGACGCUCAGGUGCGAAAGCGUGGGGAGCAAACAGGAUUAGAUACCCCUGUAGUCCCUGUCUCUUAUAC
Molecule: ribosomal RNA, 301 nt
Filed under: uncultured bacterium
Lineage: Bacteria
Description: partial 16S ribosomal RNA
Rfam family: Bacterial small subunit ribosomal RNA
Source: RNAcentral